This 468-nucleotide ribosomal RNA is filed under the name uncultured bacterium. RNAcentral's name for it is "partial 16S ribosomal RNA". It matches the Rfam family "Bacterial small subunit ribosomal RNA", at positions 28 to 507 of the family's 1533-position model. The record is from RNAcentral.
GACGAACGCUGGCGGCGUGCUUAACACAUGCAAGUCGAACGGAAAGGCCCUGCUUUUGUGGGGUGCUCGAGUGGCGAACGGGUGAGUAACACGUGAGUAACCUGCCCUUGACUUUGGGAUAACUUCAGGAAACUGGGGCUAAUACCGGAUAGGAGCUCCUGCUGCAUGGUGGGGGUUGGAAAGUUUCGGCGGUUGGGGAUGGACUCGCGGCUUAUCAGCUUGUUGGUGGGGUGGUGGCUUACCAAGGCUUUGACGGGUAGCCGGCCUGAGAGGGUGACCGGCCACAUUGGGACUGAGAUAAGGUCCAGACUCCUACGGGAGGCAGCAGUGGGGAAUAUUGCACAAUGGGCGGAAGCCUGAUGCAGCAACGCCGCGUGCGGGAUGACGGCCUUCGGGUUGUAAACCGCUUUCGCCUGUGACAAAGCGUGAGUGACGGUAAUGGGUAAAGAAGCACCGGCUAACUACGUG